This 512-nucleotide long non-coding RNA is filed under the name Mus spicilegus (steppe mouse). RNAcentral's name for it is "lncRNA (ENSMSIG00000003055.1)". Lineage: Eukaryota; Metazoa; Chordata; Mammalia; Rodentia; Muridae. The record is from RNAcentral.
ACCCUGUGAUAGCAGAGAUAUUGAGUCGUUUCCAAGGGUCUCUUUCUUGCGAAGGACCUACUGCUCUCCGACACUCUGGAAAGGUGUUAUCGUGUAUUUCUCUUCUGGACUUGCAAUUCAGGCUGCUCUGGGUCUUCGGCGGAAUGAAAGGCUGGGCCUGUCGGGAUAGUAGAUUCCUUAUCCGGAAGCAUAAUGUUUAAGGGAAGAUGGGAAGUUAGCCUGGAACAGUUGCUAAGGACUCAGUGUGACAUCAUGUUGAUAAAGAAACACCAGGAAACAAACUCCUGCUGCAAGACUUCUAGAAAAAUGCCAAUCUGCUUUUUGUGAGGUCUGUCUGACUUGUGUUCCAGACGUUAAAACAGACACCACAGGAAGGUACUGGAGUAUAACUCAGUGGCAUAGUGCUUGCUUGCCUUUAGGCCCUGGUUUCCUAGCCCUGGAAAAAAAUCUAGGAGGCCAGGCUUUAGAUGAGGCCCAUGCACUAAAUUCUGACAGACCAGGAUAAAAAUGAA